RNAcentral lists this long non-coding RNA (702 nucleotides) under Vombatus ursinus (common wombat). RNAcentral describes it as "lncRNA (ENSVURG00010012032.1)". Lineage: Eukaryota; Metazoa; Chordata; Mammalia; Diprotodontia; Vombatidae. The record is from RNAcentral.
CUGUCUCUCUAAUACAAUCCCCUCCUGCCCACCUUCUUUCUUGUACUGGGAGGUACUGGGCAUGUUAACUAACCUCAGACUGGCAGUUCUGCCCACUGCCUGGGCACACACCUGGAAGACAGCAUACGAAGCUGGGCACGCCCAGUGACGCUGUUCCACUUUCCUCUUUGGGGGGAAGAAGGGACAGGGCUGGGCCAGUCAUGGGGUAGGUUCUGAGCUCAGCGCCAACUUUCAAGCACUCCCUCUUGCCUGCUUCCCCUAUAGCAUGAUAUGGAUAGAAGCUGGACCCGGGCUGCCCACCAGCCCCACUUUGUUAUCGGGACCUGUCUCUGCCAGUCUUAUGACCAGGAACAGAAGGAAAGCACUUUUGGAAACUUUACAGCAUACCAGAACCGUGAGCUAUCCUGAUCACUGUCCACUAAAACGCUGCUGGCUCCUUUCCUACACUUUCCAGGAGCCCAGGAGGGAAACACCAAAGACAGAGAGAGACUCAUGCCACUGCGCCGCCCCUUGAUCCUCGGGUGAUGGAAUGCAAUGGAGAAGCAUCUAUUAGGCCUUUACAAUGUGUUGUGCAUUAUGGUAAACAUAAAAAAGCAAAGACAGUUCCUGCUUUCAAGUAGUUCACACAAACAGCAGAUUUUGCUCUUUUAUUAAAAUCUAUACUUACCUGUAGCCUUAUUUAUUUUUUCAGUCUCUGGACCC